UCCAAUGAAAUCUAAAAGGUUGAUUAAGUAUGCAUUUCAUUAGAGAAAUCCAAUAACUUCCACUGGAAUUCUUUGUGCUUCGUGCUAGUAUGCUUUUACUUUGUUACGGAUUGUUACGCCAUGCUAAGUUUCGUUAUUUUUGCCAUGAGUAUUUGAAUAACGUUAAAAUUAUCGCCCCUAAUGUUGUUCAAAACUCAAGGUAAAUAAUAAUUAAGGAUGGUAAGUAAGUAUUCGAAUAACUUUUAAGCAAAUUGGUGUUGAUUGUGGAUUUUUAAUUUAUGCAUUUUAGUUUUACGGAAAUGGUUAAGUCGCUUCAACAACCGUGAAAAGCCUGUGUGUUUAGAACUCAUAAGAAAGCUUAAAAUGGUUCCUUAACUCAUGGACAGCAGCAGACACUUUGAAACAACCAGAAGCAAAAAGUGCAUCGGCCGACAAAAGCAUCACAUAUUCAAUUGUGAAACCUCUCGCAAACUUCGUAAUGGACGAGGGCAAGCCGGAAUAUCCGCUCAUCGAGGACAAAUACAACAAAGGGGGCUGACCCAUGCCUAACGGUAUCAGAACUCGGUCAAAGGAAAUGUUAACCGCACAUGACGCCUGCUACUGGCCUGGGUUUUUUUUUUGUUUGCGAACAGUACGACGAGGCGCUCCGAAAUUUCAUCCUCCCCCAGCAAGACACUUUUGGAAAAGACACACCACGUCCCUCGCAGAAUGCGGUUGUUAAGUCGUACGACAUCAAAGUUCUGGGGAAGUGAACACCAUCACCUUCCAUGAUCAAGCAAACUGAACAGGAAAACUGAACGGAAAACGGAACUGAAAAGUUGCAUCGAGAGGCCGGCGGAACUCGGGAUUUUAUACCUACCGGGUCAGAACAACCAGAAU
This is a long non-coding RNA of Uranotaenia lowii, 879 nucleotides long. RefSeq lists it as uncharacterized. The transcript has 3 exons. NCBI's taxonomy places the organism in Eukaryota, Metazoa, Arthropoda, Insecta, Diptera, Culicidae. The record is from RefSeq and is a predicted model, not a curated record.